AUGGCUAUCCGUAUCAAUCAUAUGUAUGUUUUCAUUGCAAUUAUGUGCAUCGUUUCUAUUUUGAUUCAAGGUACAUAUAAAGUGGGUGGAAUCCAUAAAGUAAUAGUUCCUGAUCCGCCAGGUUGUGGUAAUCGAGCUGAUUUGUGUCCAGAUUAUCCUGAAGAAUGUCUUAAGACUUGUAUAAUCAAGGAUGUCGGAUUAGCUAAGUGCUGUCGAGGAGAACUAUGUUGCUGUGAAGCAUAG
Molecule: long non-coding RNA, 243 nt
Filed under: Vicia faba (fava bean)
Lineage: Eukaryota; Viridiplantae; Streptophyta; Magnoliopsida; Fabales; Fabaceae
Source: RNAcentral